This 27-nucleotide non-coding RNA is filed under the name Rattus norvegicus (Norway rat). Lineage: Eukaryota; Metazoa; Chordata; Mammalia; Rodentia; Muridae. The record is from RNAcentral.
UGGAAGAUAGUAAAACAUUGCUUGGUC